UACGUAGGUGGCGAGCGUUAUCCGGAUUUACUGGGUGUAAAGGGCGUGUAGGCGGGAGAGCAAGUCAGAUGUGAAAACUACAGGCUUAACCUGUAGCCUGCAUUUGAAACUGUUCUUCUUGAGUGAUGGAGAGGCAGGCGGAAUUCCUAGUGUAGCGGUGAAAUGCGUAGAUAUUAGGAGGAACACCAGUGGCGAAGGCGGCUUACUGGACGAUGACUGACGCUGAGGCUCGAAAGUGUGGGUAUCAAACAGG
This 253-nucleotide ribosomal RNA is filed under the name uncultured Oscillospira sp. RNAcentral describes it as "partial 16S ribosomal RNA". It matches the Rfam family "Bacterial small subunit ribosomal RNA", at positions 524 to 776 of the family's 1533-position model. The record is from RNAcentral. Lineage: Bacteria; Bacillati; Bacillota; Clostridia; Eubacteriales; Oscillospiraceae.